CCUACGGAGUGCUGCAGUGGGGAAUAUUGGACAAUGGGCGAAAGCCUGAUCCAGCCAUGCCGCGUGUGUGAAGAAGGCCUUCGGGUUGUAAAGCACUUUCAGUGGGGAAGAAAGCCUUGGGGCUAAUACCCUCGAGGAAGGACAUCACCCACAGAAGAAGCACCGGCUAACUCCGUGCCAGCAGCCGCGGUAAUACGGAGGGUGCGAGCGUUAAUCGGAAUUACUGGGCGUAAAGCGCGCGUAGGCGGUCUGAUAAGCCGGUUGUGAAAGCCCCGGGCUCAACCUGGGAACGGCAUCCGGAACUGUCAGGCUAGAGUGCAGGAGAGGAAGGUAGAAUUCCCGGUGUAGCGGUGAAAUGCGUAGAGAUCGGGAGGAAUACCAGUGGCGAAGGCGGCCUUCUGGACUGACACUGACGCUGAGGUGCGAAAGCGUGGGUAGCAAACAGGAUUAGAUACCCUAGUAGUC
RNAcentral lists this ribosomal RNA (465 nucleotides) under Vreelandella stevensii. Its description in RNAcentral is "partial 16S ribosomal RNA". It matches the Rfam family "Bacterial small subunit ribosomal RNA", at positions 338 to 795 of the family's 1533-position model. Lineage: Bacteria; Pseudomonadati; Pseudomonadota; Gammaproteobacteria; Oceanospirillales; Halomonadaceae. The record is from RNAcentral.